RNAcentral lists this transfer RNA (68 nucleotides) under Heterocephalus glaber (naked mole-rat). It matches the Rfam family "tRNA". From Rfam's summary of the family: Transfer RNA (tRNA) molecules are approximately 80 nucleotides in length. Their secondary structure includes four short double-helical elements and three loops (D, anti-codon, and T loops). Further hydrogen bonds mediate the characteristic L-shaped molecular structure. tRNAs have two regions of fundamental functional importance: the anti-codon, which is responsible for specific mRNA codon recognition, and the 3' end, to which the tRNAs corresponding amino acid is attached (by aminoacyl-tRNA synthetases). tRNAs cope with the degeneracy of the genetic code in two manners: having more than one tRNA (with a specific anti-codon) for a particular amino acid; and 'wobble' base-pairing, i.e. permitting non-standard base-pairing at the 3rd anti-codon position. The record is from Rfam by way of RNAcentral. Lineage: Eukaryota; Metazoa; Chordata; Mammalia; Rodentia; Bathyergidae.
GGGUAGCUCAGUGGUAGAGCACUUGGCUGGCAGGCAUGAUACCCUGGGUUUAAUUCUCAGCACAACCA